AAUCCCCAACUGGUGGAGUUUUCCAUCUGAGCCUGGAUCUUCAGAGGAAUAAAAGGAAGAUUUUGAUAAUGGAAUUGGUUGUACUUCCCCUUUUGUAAUUGGCUGUGAAAGAAGCUGCUAUUGCACCAAGUCCCUUCAUCUGUGAGCCCAUUGAGCUGGCAUUGCAUAUAUGUGACCAAUGACCAAAGUGGUUUAACUGUGUCUAUGUGAGAAGGGAAAAAUAAAUCAAAAGGCCUAUUUCUGGAGGGAUCAGCCUAUUCUCGUGUGAGAGGUCUUCUCUUUCAUGUAGAGAAUCAUCCCAGAGUUCUGGCAAACCAUGGUUUUGAAUAUACUCCCUUUUCCCCAAAUAUCCUGUCACAUACCAGAGGUGUAACCAUAUCCACAGUCUUAACUCCAGGUGGCUGGAAGCUGAUUCUGCAUAAAUUAAAGAGAAAAGGUGAUACAACACACUGUAAUCUAACUGCAGCAAUGGGGUAGUUCAUGCCAGGGAUGCAGCUUUCACUCAAGCUGACUACAAUGGACAGCAAAGGGGAAGUUUCCAUGGAGCUUCAUCCUGCUUCAUCCCUUUCCUUUAGCUCUGCCUCGUGAAACAAAGCCAUAAAGAGAGUGUUUAUUGCUGGGAAGGAUGUGGAAAACUUUCUCCUCUGUAGUGGACUUGGUAGUAGCACAGAAGAUUGCCUAAUUAAUAUAAUAAAUGAGGUGAGAAUUAUGAAAAGAAAAGAUGCUUCUUUUCAGAGCUGAAAAUUGAAGCAUGUGAGAUAGUCUGGAGGCUCUGAUUAUAAAUCUUUCUUACACAGACAUCAAAGCAGUGGGACUGGAAAAAGCCCUAAGGGGCUUGUGAAACAGAGUUUUGACUAAAAAUGGGUAUAACUAAUAUGGGUCAAAGCUUGCAUUAAGUGGAUAAGAAUUCAGAGUUUGUCAGCUUAGUCCUUUCUACUGGACAGCCAAAAUUUGGCAGGAUAUAUCAAGAAGAUAAUCUCUAUUAUAAUGUUUUUAGAAUUUCCUGCUUUGCUUCAGCCUGGAAAUGCUUCAAGAUUGGCUUUUUUGUGAUAUUUUCAGACUGCAUUUUUUUUCGUUUCUUAUUUAUUUGUAUGUUGGCCUUCCUUUUUCAAGCUGAAGACUAAGCUAAAGCUGUUGUAUGGGAGAAAGCAAGAUGAGGCUAGCUGAAUUGGACAGUGAGGUUAAAGAGUUUGAGGAGUGGGAAUUAAAAGAAUUUGUUGCUGUUAUUAGGGUGGCACCAUCUGAAGAUAUGGGACAUGGAUACUUUCACAGCUAGCAGCAAAAUCUGGGAGGAAAGUGUAGGCAAGGCGUUUGCUUUUAUAUCCAAAUCAAUGAUGGAAGUAAAACCGAAAGACCUUCAUUUAGUGACCAAGCAUCUCUGUGCAAGCAGCUGAGUAUCUCUGCAUUUGGUUUGAAAGGAGAUGAUUUAUUUCAUAGUGAUACAUGGUUCUUCCUAGGUACCCUUUAAACACCCUUUCUGCAACUGUCUCUUGCUCUAUUUUGGUGUAGGCUUGCAUGUUGGCUGGAUCUGAGCUGCAUGCAGUAAAGCAUUAUGAACUUCACUGUUUCUACCUUAUGUGAUACGGAUUAAAAGUUGGGCUGAAUUCACAGAAGCUGAAGUACUUCUAUAAGGCAUUUUUCCUCCAAGAAUGGCCUGCUGGUGCCAAGGAUUCCAGCACUGUAACUUGUUAGCAGAGUAAUAUUGAGCCAAGGCCUCAGUGCAGCAGAUAACAAAAAUCAACUCAAUUGUUCUUUGUACUUUUCCCAUGUGGACAUUCCUCAGUGUCCGAGGACCUUCUCCAGUUGAAAAUCAGUGAGACUGCAGUUAACUGUGUGAUGUGUUUCAGCAGGCAUGCCUACAUGCAUGCACUUUCUCACAGUGCUACACGCAAAUAAAGUGUUGAUUCCUGGCUAACUGGCAGGUAAUCAAAGGCAAUUCCUCCAGAUGCUGCUAGCUGGUGUCACAAGUGACACUUCAUUCAUGCCAGUGAAGUUUUUGAGAAGUGGCUGCCAAAUUGGAAACGUCUCAUAAUAGCUCUUAAACUGGUGGAAACAGCUACUUUGAACUUUGUUCUAGGGGUCAAGUUAGUGAAGGGAUCAGUUUUUUUUGCAGAUGAUGAAUGUUUUCAUGAAAUAGAAACACUUGGAAUAUGGGAACUUGCCAUUUUCUGGAAAUGCCUAUCACAGUGAAUACUACAGAUGGCUCUGAGAUACCAUUGUAGUGGGAAAUCUGGCUUGAGUUGUUUUAAAAUCAUGUACUCAUUCAUGCCCUUGGCUUUUAACAAGCUGUAGGGUUCUGUCUUCAGAUUCCACCAGGAAAUCCGUACACUGAUUCCACUCGGUGCUGUUGAACUGUGAACUAUUGACAUUGAUUUGUCCAGAGGUAAGAGUAGUGAAAGGACUUAGCAGCAGUUGCUACUAUAAGCACUGCUUUAUUAAAAUUUAAUAAAGGAUAUCAUUCAAAGAUCUUAUUAAUGUGAAACUUUUGCUUCUGUAAUGGAGUUCUAAAAAUGUGUAUUUUAAUGAUGUUGACAUGUCACAGGUCUUAGGACUUAGUCCAUUGCUCAUC
Molecule: long non-coding RNA, 2569 nt
Organism: Tympanuchus pallidicinctus (lesser prairie-chicken)
Lineage: Eukaryota; Metazoa; Chordata; Aves; Galliformes; Phasianidae
Exons: 5
Source: RefSeq, a predicted model, not a curated record